Long non-coding RNA from Drosophila hydei, 1095 nucleotides. RefSeq lists it as uncharacterized. The record is from RefSeq and is a predicted model, not a curated record. NCBI's taxonomy places the organism in Eukaryota, Metazoa, Arthropoda, Insecta, Diptera, Drosophilidae. The transcript is spliced from 3 exons.
AGAGAGAGAGAGUGGGAAGCAGAAGACAAAGAGAGAAAAGCAGAUUAAUUGCCCUCAAGAUAGCAAACAGAAGAGCCAGAAAGAGACAGAAAGCGAAGCGAGAACAAGUUAAAGCAAAAGAUUUUGCAUUGUAUAGAUUAAAUACUAUUUGAAACGUUUACGAGUUAGAUACAAAGCAACCCUAAUGAAUAUAAGCAAUACGUCAAAGCAUAUUCUUUACAUAAUCGAACACGAUUGAAAGCAUAAAUAGAAAGAAAAUGCCAACGCAAUGAUUACGAUAUAGAGACUGAGUGUGAGUGUCGCAAUCGUUUACGGAUAGGAUUCAAAGAAGAAUUUACAAAACGGAAAAAAUAUUGGAAUUUGAAUACUGAAACCAAAUAAAAUAUGAUAUAUAGAAAUAUAUAUAUAUAUGUGUAAAGGACAUAUGCCAUAAUUCUUGCCCCAUAUAUGAGCCGAGUUGCAAGUGGGCUAAGCCUAAAGAUUGCGAGUCGAGUCGAGUGGAAGUCGCAACGAUCAACGACCUGAGACACCCCCGCUCUAAAUUCCAGAGCCCGGCCCAGGCAGACAAUGGGCGGGCAUUCAUCUUUACGUAAUUCCCAACCAAACAAAAAACAGCAACAUUAAAAAAUGUUUGCCUGAAACAAAGCAGAAAAGUGAAAGUCUAAGAGAGAAAUACGUAGAGUCCCUCACAAAAAAAAAAACGAGAAAAAAUCAAAUAUAAUUACUAUGCAUCAGAAAGGCGAACAAGGCGAAGCGUCGCGUCGCGUCUCUGGCAUGCCAUCAAAUUAAUGAAUGAAUAUAAAAAUCUCGAGCUCCCCUCGCAACACCCCCUCCACAUAAAAAAAGUAUCUGAACCGAGCUACAAUUGUUGCCAGCUGUCUAAGCCAGAACCAGUUUCGAAUUUCGAAUUUGGAUAACGAUUUGUCGGGCCAAUUCGAAUUCAAUAAAAAAUGUUGCAGGAAAUUCGUUUGCCUCAACCCAAAUGAAACAAAAACAUUGAAGCGCACAAUUUUAUAUACGAAAUUUAAAUAACUUUUGAAUAAAAUCAGGCAAUGAACGCACACUUUUAAUUUAAAUAAAAAAAAAAGGUUGAGA